RNAcentral lists this ribosomal RNA (253 nucleotides) under uncultured bacterium. RNAcentral's name for it is "partial 16S ribosomal RNA". It matches the Rfam family "Bacterial small subunit ribosomal RNA", at positions 524 to 776 of the family's 1533-position model. The record is from RNAcentral.
UACGUAGGGGGCAAGCGUUGUCCGGAAUCAUUGGGCGUAAAGAGCGUGUAGGCGGCCCGAUAAGUCCGCUGUGAAAGUCCAGGGCUCAACCCUGGGAUGCCGGUGGAUACUGUCGGGCUCGAGUCCGGAAGAGGAGUGUGGAAUUCCUGGUGUAGCGGUGAAAUGCGCAGAUAUCAGGAGGAACACCGAUGGCGAAGGCAGCUCGCUGGGACGUGACUGACGCUGAGACGCGAAAGCGUGGGGAGCAAACAGG